GAUGAAGAACGCAGCGAAAUGCGAUACGUAAUGUGAAUUGCAGAAUUCAGUGAAUCAUCGAAUCUUUGAACGCACAUUGCGCCCCCUGGUAUUCCGGGGGGCAUGCCUGUCCGAGCGUCAUUACAACCCUCAAGCUCUGCUUGGUGUUGGGCCCCGCCGCCCCGGCGGGCCCUAAAGUCAGUGGCGGUGCCAUCCGGCUCCGAGCGUAGUAAUUCUUCUCGCUCUGGAGGUCCGGUUGUGUGCUUGCCAUCAACCCCCAAUUUUUUUCAGGUUGACCUCGGAUCAGGUAGGGAUACCCGCUGAACUUAAGCAUAUCAAUAAGCGGAGGA
RNAcentral lists this unclassified non-coding RNA (329 nucleotides) under soil metagenome. Its description in RNAcentral is "partial contains 5.8S ribosomal RNA, internal transcribed spacer 2, and large subunit ribosomal RNA". The stretch from base 1 to 120 matches the Rfam family "5.8S ribosomal RNA", at positions 35 to 154 of the family's 154-position model. The record is from RNAcentral.